GUACUCAUUUCUGCAGCACAUAUACUAAUUAAUACUGGAACGAUACAGAGAGGAUCAGCACGGCCCCUACCCAAGGGUGACAUGCAAAUUUAUGAAGCGUCCUAUAUUUCU
Vulpes vulpes (red fox) is the source of this 111-nucleotide small nuclear RNA. The record is from Ensembl. Lineage: Eukaryota; Metazoa; Chordata; Mammalia; Carnivora; Canidae.